Long non-coding RNA from Taeniopygia guttata (zebra finch), 7512 nucleotides. The record is from Ensembl. Lineage: Eukaryota; Metazoa; Chordata; Aves; Passeriformes; Estrildidae.
CUCACCGAUUCAUCCGCGCUGUCCCGGCUCCGUUCCCCCCUCACCGCUCCAUCCGCCCCCUCACGGCUCCGCUCGGCUCAGCACAGCUCCUCACGGCAUCGCCCGCUCCAUCCCGGCCUCACCCGACCCCUCUCGGCUUCUCGCGUCCCCUCACGGCUUCGCCCGCCCCACCCGGGACACUCGUACCGAUUUUUGCAUCUGCUUUGCCUCUGUGGAUCUGCACUUCACUUCACGGAGCUCAGUAAAAACAAAAAAGUCGAUGCAUAGACACGAGAGGAAUGGUUUAAUUCCUCUGUGCAGGCAGAACAACUGGAUCGAGUGCAUGAAUCAAAUAGUCCUGUCCUGAAUAAUUUCCUUGUUUCUGCUUCAUGUAUGGAUUUUCUGUAGAGGUGCAUUCAUUUCCAAACCAAGCUCUAUUCAAAAUGCAACUGAGAAAGGUGGCCCAGAGCUGAAUGUCCUCAAUUAAUUUGGUUUUAGUUAUUCUCCCUAAACAAGCAAAUUCCAACGUGAGGGCAGAAAGCAAAGCUAACGAGGCACUGCAUCCUCCAGACACCCCAGCUUUAUCGUUCUCAAGUGGAUGAGCCCUGCAGACAUGGAACAGUGGCUCGGCUCAGCCAAGGCACACACAGCAGCCCAGGUGAGCAGAUCCCCCUGCGUGUGUCCCUGCCCUGGCCCUGGGCAUGAGGAGUGGGGCCAGGCAGAGAUGAACUGAUGGGAGUCUGAUCUGGCCUAAAGAGAGGCAGGAAGGUGAAGGGCUGUGGUGGAGACUCAGAGGAGGUGGAGGGCGUGGGCUUGGAGCAACUCAGUCUGCUUUUGGGUCACACCUUCACACUGGGAGGUGAUGUGACAGCACCUUCCCUCUGGGAGUUCCUCAUGCACCUUGCCUCCCACGAGGAGGGUGUUCCUCUUCCCCCUGAAAUUCCCUGGCUCACAUGCAGCAGCUGCUGCUUGUGCUGAGUAGGCAGUGCUGCGUUGUUGCUGCUGCUGGAUGGGAUGGAAGCAUCCAGAAAUGCAGGCUCUUGAUUCUCUGUCAGUUGGCAUCACAUCUCAGCUCAUCAGUGCAAAACCACGUCAACAGAGUGAUGCUUGAUUUGGGGACACACUUUUGUACCCUGGGUGCCAAACCUCUUUGAUCUGGGGGCACUGCCAGGUCCCUGCUGCUCCUUUUGGAGUGUGGGCCCUCCAGAGGCACUUUCUGCUCUUCUGGGCAGUCCUUUGCCUUCUAUGUGUGUUAGUAGGGAGCAAUUUAUCCUCACAAGGAAAACAAUGGGUUUUUUCCAUAGCUGAUGCCACAUUUUGGUUAGCAAUGGGAGAAGUGGAAAAGGAAUGACACACAUCAUUACUGCUGUCUGCACAAAGGGCUGAAUUCAGAUCUCAUCUACACUGUCCUGAUGGAGAGAGAGCGCUCCACAUGCUCUCCCCUCUGGCAUGGCACCAUUUAAAUGUGUGUGACACAGCCUGUUCUCCCAGAAAACACAGAAACCUCUGGGGAUCCUAAGUGGUUUGACCCCUUUGCAAGCAGAGUUUCUGGUCUUGCAGUGUGGCUUCACCCUGUGUGGGCAAUGUCGUUAGCAUGGCCACCCCAUAAUUGUGGGGUUGCCUUUCUGGAGCAUGGCAGGCCCUUCCAGUUCUGGAGCAGCAUGACCCCAUGAAGCAAAACAGUCAGGCUGUGGGACAGCUUGGAGAUUCAAAACACAGAGAUACUCUCAGAAAGCCUCAAAAGCCAGCCAAACUGGGUUUUCCAAGGAUAAAAGUAAAUUUAAAUAAGAGUUCAUUUUUCCGCAUAAGUAAGAGGGGGACAGAAACUACAGAAACUAUGUGGACCUGUGCUCUGUAUAUGGAAAGGUUAAUUUCUCGGUUGUAUUUUCACCAAAAUACAGGCAUGAAGAAAGCUCAAAUAUUCAGGCAUGCUAAAGGCAAGGGACUAUUCAGUAAGAACUGGACAGAACAAGGGGAAAUGGCCUCAAGAUGUGCCAGGGGAGGCUCAGCUUGGACAGCAGCAGGAAUUUCUCCAUGGAAAGGGUGCUCAGGCCUUGGCAGGGGCUGCCCAGGGAGCUUUGGAGUGCCCAUCCCUGGGUGUGCCCAAGGAAGGGCUGGAGGUGGCACUCAGUGCUCUGGGCUGGGGACAAGGUGGGCACUGGGCACAACUGGGACUCCAUGGGCUGGGAGGGAUUUUCUCACCUCAAUUAUUCUGUAAUUCUAUAAAGAAUAGAAGAGCAGUUAAUUAAUGAAUGACUGAAUCCAAUGCCAUUCUUUUUGGUAUGGUUCUGUCAGACAGGGUUUGGGCUUGGAUUGCCCAAAGAAGACCAUGGUAUUGAAGUUUGCUGACAGCACAAAGCUUGACAUUGCCCCAGCAUAGAGAGCAAGUCAGAGAUAGGAUGGAGUUUAACAGUGAGAAAUUCUUGCAGCAAGCAUGGAUUUCUGCUGCAAACUCCAAAGCUCAGAAGGACAAAGAAGAGAAAGGCUUGAACAGAUCAGCAGAUCUCCAGGCAGCUGGGAGCCCGGUGUGGCAUGGCCACCUAACGGCAAGCAGGAGUUUGAGGCAGGUCAGAAGUGACAUUACCAGGACACAGGGAGAGAUUAACACUCCCCACUGUGGGUGGCCACAGCCACAGCCACCCACAGGCAGGGCUGCAGGGAAACACUGCUGGUGGUGCACAGCUUCUGAGAGGGCACCCAAAGAAGCAUCCAUGAGUGAACAUGGAUGGGACAUCAGGAGGACUUUCUGCUGGAAAAGGACAUUUUGGGAGCAGUCUUCCAGCAGUAAAUGACCCAGCUGACCUCAGAUGAAUUCAGCAAUCUCGGUGAGAGGAAGGAGGUGCUUGGUGAGAUGGGAUGUUUCCAUCGUGUUCCCUAUUCUUCUGCUCUGCUUCCAGCCAGAGAUUCCAGCCUGCAGCGCUCUUUUACAACCCAGCUCUUGCCCAAGACAAAAGGGCUGUUAUAGUAACCACAAUAGUGUGACUUCCCCUGACCAGUGCCAUCCAUCCCUGCAGGAAAACAGGGCUGGAAAAGCUCUGAAAGAGCUUCAGAAAAUUUCAGUGUCAGGAGUUGGCAUGAAACUAAUCCAACUGUAUCACGCUGCAUUCAAAGCCACAUCUUAUUAAAUCAUUCAGGAUGAAGGACUGGAAACAGGGGCAGUUUGCCAACUUAUUCAGCAGAUGUACAGUCACAGCUGGUCAGCAGUUUUCUAAAAUUACCAGUCAUCUAAGACAAAUUUUCGUCAUGACCAAGGCAGGUUUUUAAUAGAUUCAGGAAACAAAACGUUGUCUGGUAACAUUUCUCCUAAUUCUAAGGCAGUAAAUUGUGAUACUAAUUUUCAAUUCCUUCUAUGUUUUCUAUUCCUUUUCAGAAUUUUUAUUUUCUGUUAAAAAAUGUUGAUCACCCUCCUUUACCCUUAGAAGAGUGAAGGCCAUGCUAACUUCUGUCUCGUUGUAAAAAUCUGGUUUAUAGGGAAUUAUUUCAAGAAGUUUGGAGGCAAUUUAAAUAUGGUUGAAAUUUUUUUUCGCAUCUGGAUGAGUUAACUUUUGUCACUUUAUUUUUUCCUCAGGAUGUAACAACUCCCUGCUGCUCUCUUUGUUUCUCUGGCUGCUCUUCACUGUCCUGUUUUAUGAAAUUUAGUUUUCAUCUCCUUUGGACUUGAGAGAAGGUGAGGCAUUAGGAAGCAAAGGAAAUUACUGUACUUGCCAAUAUACUCAUACAAGAGGAGAAGCAAAUAUUGAGAGUGAACUCCCAGUCCCUUCAGCAUUAGAAUGAAGACAGGUGCUUGUUGGCUGCAGCCAUGCCAAAAGUACCUCAUAGUUAUGGGAGCAAGGGGAGUCCAUACCACUUGUCAUACAAUCAUAGAAUCACAGAAUUUCAGUGUCACUGAGGCUGGAAAAUCCCUGCCAGCCUAUGGAGUCCCAGCUGUGCCCAGUGCCCCCCUUGUCCCCAGCCCAGAGCACUGAGUGCCACCUCCAGCCCUUCCUGGGACACCUCCAAAGCUCCCUGGGCAGCCCUGCCAAGGCCUGAGCACCCUUUCCAUGGAGAAAUUCCUGCUGCUGUCCAAGCUGAGCCUCCCCUGGCACAGCUUGAGGCCGUUUCCCCUUGUCCUGUCCCUGUUCCCUGGCAGCAGAGCCCGACCCGCCCUGGCUGUCCCCUCCUGGCAGGAGCUGUGCAGAGCCACAAGGUCCCCCCUGAGCCUCCUUUUCUCCAGGCUGAGCCCCUUCCCAGCUCCCUCAGCCGCUCCUGGGGCUCCAGCCCCUUCCCCAGCUCCCUUCCCUUCCCUGGCCACGCUCCAGCCCCUCCAGGGCCCAGAACUGGGCACAGCCCUGGGGUCCCUCAGCAGGGCCAGCCCAGGGCACAGACCCUGCCCUGGCCUGUGGCCACCCCAUGGCUGGCACAGCCCGGGGCCAUUGGCCUCGUGCCCCCCUGGGCACCCCUGGGCUCCUGCCCAGCCCUGGCACAGCCCCCCAGGGCCUUUCCCGACGGGCCCUUUCCAGCCCCUCUGCCCAGCCUGGAGCUGCAGGGCCGGGGCUGAGCCCAGGGCAGGACCUGGCACUGGCUGAACUCAGCCCAUGGAUCCAGCCUGUCCUGGUCCCUCUGCAGAGCUGCUGCCCUCCUGCACUGCCACACUCCAGCCAGCCUGGGGCUGUCUCUGAAGUUACUGAGGGCACCCUUUGGUAACUCUCACACUGAAAUCUGUUCCCUGCACUCACACUCUGGUUUUGGCUCUUAUAUAUCGCACAGUUUUUAUGCUGCCCAGGCAGUGCGGGUUGCAAACAAAACACAUCAUCCAUUUAUACUUUUGGAAAGGUUUUGCCCCACCCAAAGCCAGGCUGAGGCUGGUGGCAAACAGCUUUGCAGAGGAAAUUUCUUGUGCUCCCAGCUCUGCCAAGGGCUUAGCUGAUCCUGUGUUUCAGAGCACAGAUUCCAAUAACGGGAAUGAAGCAGCACAUCAGUCAUCAGGCUCUUUCUUUUAGCACUGUUAGCAGUUACACCACACAAAGCAAUUGAACAGAAAGAGUCAUUCAGCUGGGGCUAGCUGAGUCUUAGUCUUUUGUCUGGAAAAUCCUUAACAUCCCCACUGAGGACUGGAGUAACAAAUUAAAAACUUUUGUCUGCUUGCCCCUCCAAAUCAGUGCGUGUCAGUAACACUGUGAACAUGGAAAAAGGAAAAGGGAGUUGUGGGCUGGCUUCACCAUUCAUUAAGGUAAUUUACUCUUCUUUACAAGGUUGGAAAGGGCUGUGUAACAGUGCUUGGGGCAUGUAUCUGGACACAGUGGGGGUGGAGAAAUGGUGUUGCCGUGUCCUGCUUUGGGAAUGACUGUGAGUCCUGUGCUGAAUGCAGAAAGCUAUGUAAACCAUUUUUUCUUCAUGUGUACAUGGAGAAUCCACUCAAACUCAAAAGUAAUCAGUGAAUGGGAUGCUUUACCCCUCUUCAGGAUGCUUGGUAUUUGCAGGUGUUUGGUUACAGAGUGGUCAAAGCCAAACCUUUCCUGGUAGCAACAGGGAUGGACCAAUGGCCCCUGACCCCAGACUGCAGCUGGGGCGCUCAGGAUGGGUGUGGGGUAGCACACCUUCCAUGGAAUCACAAAGUCACAGAAUCAUUAUGGUUGGAAAAGGCCUCCAAGGUCUCCAACCUUUGAUGGCACACCACCAUACCCACUAAGGCAGCCACCCCAGGACAGACACUGGGAGGCUUUAGGAACCUCCCUGAAACAGCCUGUGAAUGAGAGACCAGUGUAACACUGAAUGGAAGAGAUGGGAAAGCUUGCUGUGAAGCAAAACUUAAACACCUUCCUUUGAAGGUAACUGAAAUUCCUGUUUGACAGGGAAAAUAGUGUUUUUCUGUUUUCAAGUUUUCUGUGUUGUUGUGGCUGAGGAAACAAACCUCUGUGCACAGAAACAAGCUGCACGUGGGAGGUGCUGCCUGAUAACAUGCUCAAACCCCAGCAGUUCUGUCCUUGCUUUCUGUGGGAGGUUACAGGGCCUCUGGUGGUGUUGUUGGAGGCACUGGUCCAUUCUGGAGCCAUUAACUCAAGCUUUAGAGUUUCACAAGCAGCAGGGUCUCAUUUUUAAUCACUGUUUUUAUGUCUUGGAAAACAGUUCUAUGUAGAAUGGAGUUCUUAUUUCUCUUGGCUUUCUUAACAUCUACCCUGAUUGGAUGUCUGUUUGUUUCACUCCUGUCAGGAUAAAAUCUCUUCUUUUUGGCAGAUUCCCCAUGCUGGAAUUCACUUUUGCAGUUGAUACUUUAAUGGCACAUGGGUGCAAAUUGAUUUUGUAAAACAUUUUACUUAAAAUGCCAGGAUAAUAAUUUACUGUGCUUGUCAUUGGAUCUCUUUUUGCUUAGGCACUCCCUGCACUUCUUGAGCUGUGGAUGUGAAAUAAGCCUCAGUGAAAUUUGGCAGGAUGUGAGCUGCAGCAUUAGCUGUACAAGGUGUUAGCACCCAAACCCAUCAUUUGGGAAGUUUCAGUGCCUCUCCUCCAUAAGGUGCUGUUACACAUGUUCACUACAUGAACACAGGCACCUUUGUGGAAAAUGUUCUUCAGUAGACCCACAAUCCGUGACUGUCGAAUAAAUUCACUUGUGAACUGAUUCUGUGUAAAAAGGGAGCCUUACACCCAUUUAUCAUAAUGAAAGGAAUUCCUUAAGCACUAUGGAAAACAGCCACCUACAAUUAUCACUCAGUAAUUUAAAAUGCCGGUUGCUUUCCUUUCUGACACAGAAAAUAUAUGUCUAUGCGUGCAGUAAAGGUAUUUAAUGAUCACAUGCUGCAUUAACAGGAUAGGAAAAUUAAUCCCAUCCAAUAUAAAAGUAUAAAUAUCAUUAGCUGAACCAAGAUGAAUGUGACGUUCUUGGUGAGUGAAUCUAUUUUUGGGAAAUCAUGGGGUUGGAAUAAGAUUAAAAUAAAAAAGAGGUGACACUUGGCUCUUCUAACUAACUGUAAAAUACUCCCUUUUCCACUAAGAGGUUGCAACUUGUUCCUUUCAUAAAGCCUCUGGCUUAGCCUCUCUAUAAUUUCAGCCUGAGAAUAGCUCCAGGGUUGAAGCAGACCCUCUGAUGGAGUGACAGGACAAGGGGGAGUAGGUGUAGAUCAGCUGCUAGGAAGGAAUCCUUCCCUGGGAGGGUGGGCAGGCCCUGGCACAGGGUGCCCAGAGAGGCUGUGGUUGCCCCUGGAUCCCUGGCAGUGCCCAAGGCCAGGCUGGACAGGGCUUGGAGCAGCCUGGGACAGUGGAAGGUGUCCCUGCCCAUGGCAGGGGGUGGAAUGAGAUGAGCCUUAAGGUCCCUUCCCACCCGAACCAUUUUGUGAUUUUAUGUAACCAAUGUUGCUUCUUUUUGCAGAACAAGUUUACAAAGCAGCUCAGCUUGUGCCACCCUUAGCAUUUCCCCUGACCUCCAAGAGUACUUCUCAUAAGGUAAAAUGCAUUCAGUUGGACUUAGCCAAAGCUGUUGUUUAUCUCAUGGAAUAUUUUAAAAGCCAAUCUGUUCCAUCUGUUGGUGUAUUUUUACUCUGAUUGAAAUAGACACAGAAC